UCUUAUCAGUCAGUAAAGAAUCUGCCUGCAAUGCAGGAGACCCAGGUUCAAUUCCUGGGUUGAGAA
RNAcentral lists this transfer RNA (66 nucleotides) under Bos taurus (domestic cattle). It matches the Rfam family "tRNA". From Rfam's summary of the family: Transfer RNA (tRNA) molecules are approximately 80 nucleotides in length. The record is from Rfam by way of RNAcentral. Lineage: Eukaryota; Metazoa; Chordata; Mammalia; Artiodactyla; Bovidae. RNAcentral also lists the same sequence under 4 other names.